RNAcentral lists this ribosomal RNA (425 nucleotides) under uncultured bacterium. RNAcentral's name for it is "partial 16S ribosomal RNA". It matches the Rfam family "Bacterial small subunit ribosomal RNA", at positions 354 to 796 of the family's 1533-position model. The record is from RNAcentral.
GUGGGGAAUAUUGGGCAAUGGGCGAAAGCCUGACCCAGCAACGCCGCGUGAAGGAAGAAGGUUUUCGGAUCGUAAACUUCUAUCCUUGGUGAAGAUAAUGACGGUAGCCAAGAAGGAAGCCCCGGCUAACUACGUGCCAGCAGCCGCGGUAAUACGUAGGGGGCAAGCGUUGUCCGGAAUGAAUGGGCGUAAAGGGCGCGUAGGCGGCCCGGUAAGUCUGAAGUGAAAGUCCUGCUUUUAAGGUGGGAAUUGCUUUGGAUACUGUCGGGCUUGAGUGCAGGAGAGGUAAGCGGAAUUCCCGGUGUAGCGGUGAAAUGCGUAGAGAUCGGGAGGAACACCAGUGGCGAAGGCGGCUUACUGGACUGUAACUGACGCUGAGGCGCGAAAGUGUGGGGAGCAAACAGGAUUAGAAACCCUUGUAGUCC